AAAGCCUACAGGUGUUUAUUCGGUGAUAUGGCUGUUCAUAUACCAGCCACCGUCUCUCAUGAGGUCGUCGAUUUUCUUUACCGACUGAAUUUACCCAUCUGUGAGAACCCUAGUUCUCUUCUGGUUGUUAGGCUUGCUCCAUUAUAUCCAGUGAGGCCACUGGAUGUCAAUCCUUUUUGCACCAGUGAUUUCCUGGUUAACGCGUUCACACCAUUCACACAUAAUGGCGAAGAAUGGAUCAAGGAAAAGCAACCGGAAGGUGAUUUGAUUGUCAAUUUGAUAAUCUUGAUUACUCGGAAACCCUUAAGAGAUACCAAGUGGCG
This 323-nucleotide small RNA is filed under the name Histoplasma capsulatum var. duboisii H88. RNAcentral's name for it is "Histoplasma capsulatum H88 hypothetical RNA". The record is from RNAcentral. Lineage: Eukaryota; Fungi; Ascomycota; Eurotiomycetes; Onygenales; Ajellomycetaceae.